CCACUGAGGUCUGAGGCACGGUGGUACCAGAGGAGAUGAAGGGGCUUUCAGCAUGAAGCUGGUCCCCUGUCGACAGCACGCUGAUUUUCCCGUUGGGCUCUAUCAGCAUGUCCACUGUGAGUGUUUUCCAGAGUGGAUUCUAUGAACACUGCGAGAGAUAUAGCUCUUCUUGUGCAGAAAAUCCUAUGGACUAUAGAAAGUUUAGUGUUCCUGGCCCAUAAAGGCCAGCAGUGCUCCAAAAACAUUGUAACAAACCCAGAAGUCUCUCUGCAUUCCCCAAGGCUCCCAAGGAAGGCCACUAUAUUAAAUUCCACGUGGAAAGGGAUCAUGCUGUAUUAUAUAUCUCUGCAUUCCAGAGCUGGGCACAGUGAAUGGCACAAAUUUGACACUCAAAGUUUGUUGAAUAAUCUGAACUGUCUCACAAACUGCCUUCACAAUUUAAUUGCCUUCAAAAUUACAAAAUAAAAUCUCCAAGAAUUCUUUCAACACUGAAAUUAUUAGGUUAAGCGUAAAGCCUUGUAUGAUAUGUG
RNAcentral lists this long non-coding RNA (530 nucleotides) under Homo sapiens (human). Its description in RNAcentral is "IQCH antisense RNA 1". The record is from RNAcentral. Lineage: Eukaryota; Metazoa; Chordata; Mammalia; Primates; Hominidae.